AAUGUAAAACUUAUGAUGUAUCUCAGAGAGGAGGGACUACACAGAUAUGACACAAUCUGAUAUACAGACUGUAGAAACAAUUCAGUCUGAAUCAUCUUAAAGUGAACAGUGGAAUGUGCAAUGGAGAUUUAUUCAGUUAUUCUCAUAUACAGUCUGGCAUGUGCUGCGUUUGGAAACAUCACACCGAAGAAAACAGAGCAUUUUACUGAGAAGGGUUCAAAUGUUACACUAUCCUGCAGUUAUUCCUCUGCCGAUUAUCUAUACUGGUACCGUCAGUAUACCGGAUCAGCUCCUGAAUUUAUUGUGCUCAUCUUUGAUGGUACAACAAUCACCAAAAAGUCUGAUGUAGAUCCAAGACUGUCUGUUAAACUCACUAAAGGGGAACAAACACAUGUGGAUCUGGAGAUCUCCUCCGCUGAAGUGACAGACUCUGCUGUGUAUUACUGUGCUCUGAGGCCCACAGUCACAGGAAACACUAGAACACUGUACAAAAACCUGACACAACUGAAUGUGUACAACUAAUUCCUUUCCAUAAAUCUGAAUUAUCAUUU
Molecule: non-coding RNA, 551 nt
Organism: Pimephales promelas (fathead minnow)
Lineage: Eukaryota; Metazoa; Chordata; Actinopteri; Cypriniformes; Leuciscidae
Source: the annotation of a RefSeq genome assembly